This 492-nucleotide ribosomal RNA is filed under the name uncultured bacterium. Its description in RNAcentral is "partial 16S ribosomal RNA". It matches the Rfam family "Bacterial small subunit ribosomal RNA", at positions 29 to 507 of the family's 1533-position model. The record is from RNAcentral.
AUUGAACGCUGGCGGCAUGCUUUACACAUGCAAGUCGAACGGUAACAGGCCUUCGGGUGCUGACGAGUGGCGAACGGGUGCGUAAUGCAUCGGAACGUACCCAGAGGUGGGGGAUAACGCAGCGAAAGCUGUGCUAAUACCGCAUGUGAUCUGAGGAUGAAAGCGGGGGACCGAGCAGCAAUGUUUGGCCUCGCGCCCUUGGAGCGGCCGAUGUCGGAUUAGCUAGUUGGUGGGGUAAAGGCCUACCAAGGCGACGAUCCGUAGCUGGUCUGAGAGGACGACCAGCCACACUGGGACUGAGACACGGCCCAGACUCCUACGGGAGGCAGCAGUGGGGAAUUUUGGACAAUGGGCGCAAGCCUGAUCCAGCAAUGCCGCGUGCGGGAAGAAGGCCCUCGGGUUGUAAACCGCUUUUGGCAGGAACGAAACGGUGUCCGCUAAUACCGGGCGCUAAUGACGGUACCUGCAGAAUAAGCACCGGCUAACUACGUG